Molecule: ribosomal RNA, 433 nt
Filed under: uncultured bacterium
Lineage: Bacteria
Description: partial 16S ribosomal RNA
Rfam family: Bacterial small subunit ribosomal RNA
Source: RNAcentral
AACGAACGCUGGCGGCAUGCCUAACACAUGCAAGUCGAACGAAACCUUCGGGUCUAGUUGCGCACGGGUGCGUAACGCGUGGGAACCUACCCUUAGGUUCGGAAUAACUCCCCGAAAGGGGUGCUAAUACCGGAUAAUGUCUUCGGACCAAAGAUUUAUCGCCUUUGGAUGGGCCCGCGUUGGAUUAGCUAGUUGGUAGGGUAAAAGCCUACCAAGGCGACGAUCCAUAGCUGGUCUGAGAGGAUGAUCAGCCACACUGGGACUGAGACACGGCCCAGACUCCUACGGGAGGGAGCAGUGGGGAAUAUUGGAGAAUGGGCGAAAGCCUGAUCCAGCAAUGCCGCGUGAGUGAUGAAGGCCUUAGGGUUGUAAAGCUCUUUUACCCGGGAUGAUAAUGACAGUACCGGGAGAAUAAGCUCCGGCUAACUCCGUG